UACGUAGGGUGCAAGCGUUGUCCGGAAUUAUUGGGCGUAAAGGGCUCGUAGGCGGUCUGUCGCGUCGGGAGUGAAAACUCAGGGCUUAACCCUGAGCCUGCUUCCGAUACGGGCAGACUAGAGGUAUGCAGGGGAGAAUGGAAUUCCUGGUGUAGCGGUGAAAUGCGCAGAUAUCAGGAGGAACACCAGUGGCGAAGGCGGUUCUCUGGGCAUUACCUGACGCUGAGGAGCGAAAGUGUGGGGAGCAAACAGG
Molecule: ribosomal RNA, 253 nt
Filed under: uncultured bacterium
Lineage: Bacteria
Description: partial 16S ribosomal RNA
Rfam family: Bacterial small subunit ribosomal RNA
Source: RNAcentral